This is a long non-coding RNA of Brachypodium distachyon (stiff brome), 595 nucleotides long. RefSeq lists it as uncharacterized. NCBI's taxonomy places the organism in Eukaryota, Viridiplantae, Streptophyta, Magnoliopsida, Poales, Poaceae. The record is from RefSeq and is a predicted model, not a curated record. The transcript is spliced from 2 exons.
ACCGGCCCGCAGCGCGCGCGCCCGCACGGGCCACCGACAGGUGGGCCCCACCUGUCGGGGGCGUCUUCCCCGCAGGGAUGUCGACGCAGAUCGCGCCGGCCACCGCGCGCCGCCGCCAUCCGCGCCGCUGACUCCGUGCCCCUCUCCACUUUCCAAGCACGCCACUAUAAAGCGCGACGCAGCCGUUCUUUUCCCCCUUUUCCCCCCUGCUGAUUGCGCCGCCAAACCGCCACGAUCUCUCGCCGGCAAACCUUCGGCCGCCGCCGUUUCUCGCUCCUCUCCGACGAACCACGAGCCGUCGGGAGCCGCCGCUCGAGCUCGCCGGAGCCCGUGCUCGCGCCGCCGUCGCCAUUGCCGUCCUAGGCGCCCGCGCAGCCAUCCCCGAGGAGAACCGCCGCCUGUAGGAUCUGUCCAGUAUACAUAAUCCGCCCGAUGUCACCUAUAUUGAAGAAAUCAAUUUCCAACAUGCUGUGUUGUCUCCAUGAAUCUGAACCAAGACCGUGGCGGAUCUAGGUUUUUGUUCAACCAGUGAAGUUUAUCGUUUUCUUGUAUGAGAACCAACGAAUCUAUGAAUUUGGGUUUCAUCUCGCAUCAA